AGGCAUUUUUGUUUCAGCGGUGAAACCCAAACGCCAUCUGUCAGCCACCGUUACCCACAACGAUGAUUCAUGAAGACAUGACAUAUUUGGAAUUGUUUGAAAACUACAACCACGACUGAGUCGAUUGUGACAGAUACGGACAGCCAGAAGAAGAAGAGCCUAAACAGAAUGAGAGUGCUGAUCCCAUUUUUGUUCAGAUUAUAAGUCAUAUUAUAUUUUUUGAGGAAGAAAUAGUUAUGUGUUACUUUUUUUCAUUUGUGCUUUCUAGGUUUUGUUAACCCAGGCUGUUCUCUAAGCAGUAAGUCACCGUGUUAACUGGAGUCUGAGACGUAGAGGCAAGCUGCUUCUUCACGUCAGCCUGCAUCUCUGACCAGUAUCUGACUGAGCCCACAGAGAGGAAACUGACAUCAGGGCUCCAUCUAAUUCCUGUGUGGCACCUCCUAUGGAUGAAGGCACCCUUAGCAUUCGUGUAUACUGCCUAUGCCACAGGCCGACACAGUUCACAUGUUCUGAGCACCGCUCUGCAGGGAGAAAGUCCUGUGUUUGGUGACCCAUCCACCACCCCAACCUGCAUCCUGGUGGGGACUGCUUCCUUCUCUACUCCUGUC
Long non-coding RNA from Epinephelus fuscoguttatus (brown-marbled grouper), 608 nucleotides. RefSeq lists it as uncharacterized. The record is from RefSeq and is a predicted model, not a curated record. The transcript has 3 exons. Lineage: Eukaryota; Metazoa; Chordata; Actinopteri; Perciformes; Serranidae.